This 264-nucleotide ribosomal RNA is filed under the name Agosia chrysogaster (longfin dace). Its description in RNAcentral is "partial large subunit ribosomal RNA". Lineage: Eukaryota; Metazoa; Chordata; Actinopteri; Cypriniformes; Leuciscidae. The record is from RNAcentral.
AAGGUACAAAAUUCAGCCAUGUUAAACAACUCUAUACCAAGCAAGAACUUAAUGGCCGUGAAAUUUUACCUUCGGUUGGGGCGACCGCGGAGGAAAAGCAAGCCUCCGAGUGGACUGGGCCAAGACCCCUAAAGCCAAAAGAAACAUCUUUAAGCCGCAGAACAUCUGACCAAAAAUGAUCCGACUAAAAAGCCGAUCAACGGACCAAGUUACCCUAGGGAUAACAGCGCAAUCCUCUCCCAGAGCCCAUAUCGACGAGGGGGU